AAUAUUUGAAAAUGGGGACAACCCUGAUCCAGCCAUGCCGCGUGUGUGAAGAAGGUCUCCGGAUUGUAACGCACUUUAAGAUGGGAGGAAGGGCUUUAGGUUAAUAACAUGAAGUUUGGCCGUUACCUACUGAAUAAUCCCCGGCUACUUCUGUUCCAGAAGCCGCGGUAAUACAGUGGGUGCAAGCGUUAAUCGGAAUUACUGGGCGUAAAGCGCGCGUAGGUGGUUCAGUAAGAUGGGUGUGAAAUCCCCGGGCUUAACCUGGGAACUGCUUUCAUAACUGCUGAGCUAGAGUACGGUAGAGGGUAGUGGAAUUUCCUGUGUAGCGGUGAAAUGCGUAGAUAUAGGAAGGAACACCAGGGGCGAAGGCGACUACCUGGACUGAUACUGACACUGAGGUGCGAAAGCGUGGGGAGCAAAC
RNAcentral lists this ribosomal RNA (421 nucleotides) under uncultured bacterium. Its description in RNAcentral is "partial 16S ribosomal RNA". It matches the Rfam family "Bacterial small subunit ribosomal RNA", at positions 360 to 773 of the family's 1533-position model. The record is from RNAcentral.